Molecule: ribosomal RNA, 213 nt
Filed under: Triticum aestivum (bread wheat)
Lineage: Eukaryota; Viridiplantae; Streptophyta; Magnoliopsida; Poales; Poaceae
Description: partial small subunit ribosomal RNA
Source: RNAcentral
AUGUGGCACAAGACCGACAAUACCUUGCCGGUGAUGGUCAAUGUCCGGCAGACAGGCAGCAAAAAGGUUCUGGUGCUGCACACCAACAAGAACUUCGACCAGCAGAGGACCAACUGGGUGAUGCUGGAGCAAGAUAAGGAGCGGGAGCUGGUCAUCUGCAAGAUUUUCUACCAGACGAACACUAGAAUUCUCUCAUUUAUUGAGCAGGCCUAG